This 215-nucleotide ribosomal RNA is filed under the name Campylobacter coli. RNAcentral's name for it is "partial 16S ribosomal RNA". It matches the Rfam family "Bacterial small subunit ribosomal RNA", at positions 1 to 210 of the family's 1533-position model. The record is from RNAcentral. Lineage: Bacteria; Pseudomonadati; Campylobacterota; Epsilonproteobacteria; Campylobacterales; Campylobacteraceae.
UUUAUGGAGAGUUUGAUCCUGGCUCAGAGUGAACGCUGGCGGCGUGCCUAAUACAUGCAAGUCGAACGAUGAAGCUUCUAGCUUGCUAGAAGUGGAUUAGUGGCGCACGGGUGAGUAAGGUAUAGUUAAUCUGCCCUACACAAGAGGACAACAGUUGGAAACGACUGCUAAUACUCUAUACUCCUGCUUAACACAAGUUGAGUAGGGAAAGUUUU